Molecule: ribosomal RNA, 320 nt
Filed under: uncultured bacterium
Lineage: Bacteria
Description: bacterial SSU rRNA
Rfam family: Bacterial small subunit ribosomal RNA
Source: RNAcentral
GAUUGAACGCUGGCGGCAUGCUUUACACACGCAAGUCGAGCGGCAGCGCGGGGGCAACCCUGGCGGCGAGCGGCGAACGGGUGAGUAAUACAUCGGAACGUACCCAGGAGUGGGGGAUAGCCCGGCGAAAGCCGGAUUAAUACCGCAUACGAUCUUAGGAUGAAAGUGGGGGACCGCAAGGCCUCACGCUUUUGGAGCGGCCGAUGUCCGAUUAGCUAGUUGGUGGGGUAAAGGCCUACCAAGGCGACGAUCGGUAGCUGGUCUGAGAGGAUGAUCAGCCACACUGGGACUGAGACACGGCCCAGACUCCUACGGGAGGC